GCAGCCGCCGCGGUAAUACGGAGGGUGCAAGCGUUAAUCGGAAUGACUGGGCGUAAAGGGCGCGUAGGCGGCGAUCAAAGUCAGGCGUGAAAUUCCUGGGCUCAACCUGGGGGCUGCGUUUGAUACUUGGUUGCUAGAGUGAGGAAGAGGGUCGUGGAAUUCCCAGUGUAGAGGUGAAAUUCGUAGAUAUUGGGAAGAACACCGGUGGCGAAGGCGGCGACCUGGUCCUUGACUGACGCUGAGGCGCGAAAGCGUGGGGAGCAAACAGGAUUAGAUACCCCUGUAGUCCCUGUCUCUUAUAC
Molecule: ribosomal RNA, 302 nt
Filed under: uncultured bacterium
Lineage: Bacteria
Description: partial 16S ribosomal RNA
Rfam family: Bacterial small subunit ribosomal RNA
Source: RNAcentral